RNAcentral lists this ribosomal RNA (426 nucleotides) under uncultured bacterium. Its description in RNAcentral is "bacterial SSU rRNA". It matches the Rfam family "Bacterial small subunit ribosomal RNA", at positions 87 to 507 of the family's 1533-position model. The record is from RNAcentral.
GGCGGCGAGCGGCGGACGGGUGAGUAAGGCAUCGGAAUCUGCCCUGAUGUGGGGGAGUAACGUAGGGAAACUUACGCUAAUACCGCAUACGACCUACGGGUGAAAGCAGGGGACCGCAAGGCCUUGCGUCGAUGGAGCGGCCGAUGUCGGAUUAGCUAGUUGGUGGGGUAAAGGCUCACCAAGGCGACGAUCCGUAGCUGGUCUGAGAGGACGACCAGCCCACACUGGGACUGAGACACGGCCCAGACUCCUACGGGAGGCAGCAGUGGGGAAUCUUGGACAAUGGGCGCAAGCCUGAUCCAGCAAUGCCGCGUGUGGGAAGAAGGCCUUCGGGUUGUAAACCACUUUUGGCAGGAAAGAAAUCGUCCGUGCUAAUACCAUGGAUGGAUGACGGUACCUGCAGAAUAAGCACCGGCUAACUACGUG